GAUAAUAGGUGUACAAUGUAAGUCCAUACUUUUGUUAUAAGUAGGUGUUCAUGCGGUAUAUUGUUGUAGCUGCCUCGCUUCCUCCAUUGAAAUCGGAGUGGUCCGUUUAAAGAGUCGUAAUUGCUGUUCCACAUUCGAAAUUUCUAUAGGCCGCGGUAAUGAAUUCAACGCGAAACGACUCGCCUAAUUGCCCGUGUUGACUUCACCUGCAAUUAGCAGAUUUUAAACGGGUGUAUUUAUCUUUAAGAAGCAAAUAUUUGCGAUUAGAGAAAAAUGAAUCUAACUUGAAGCUAACGUAUAGCGAAUUUGAUGAAAUUUGAUAGGAUCCUUGGUUCUAGAGGAAACGACGGAUAAAGAUAACCGGUUUGUCAUAAGUUUCGUAAGUACAUAGAAGGACGUAUGUAGAAGAGAAGAAUUUCUGAAUGUAGCAUAAAUAGAACUCGAAAUACUUUCCAUCGCUUUUUUAACCAUGGAUGUUCGUAAAACAUCGUGUCAAUUAGUAUUAUGUCUCAUGCGUUUGACAGAAGGCAUGUCAUCUUCAGAUCGACAAAUGGAACGUAUAUCGAGAGAUUGAUAAACUUGCAUAAUGUCGUUCGUUAUAUGCUCUGUGUAAACUGAUUGUCCCUCCAAUAUCUAAUUUAUGUCAAGUGCGUUCGAACUGUUUUGACAUUUCUAACGAUGUACGUGUAAUGGUAUAGCAUGUUAAAAUUAGAAUAUGACUUGUUUCAAUGAUAACACUAUACGUAUAUAUAGUAUGGAGAUACUGUAUCUGUCCUCAGACAAUCUUUAUUAUUUCUAUUUUUUUAACAAAGCUGUUAAACAAAGGGGAUUAUAUUAAUUUAAACUGGAAUAUACAACUUGCGUUGUUAAUAAUUAAUAAACAAUUUUUAAUUAUA
Molecule: long non-coding RNA, 896 nt
Organism: Bombus huntii
Lineage: Eukaryota; Metazoa; Arthropoda; Insecta; Hymenoptera; Apidae
Exons: 2
Source: RefSeq, a predicted model, not a curated record